Molecule: ribosomal RNA, 301 nt
Filed under: uncultured bacterium
Lineage: Bacteria
Description: partial 16S ribosomal RNA
Rfam family: Bacterial small subunit ribosomal RNA
Source: RNAcentral
CAGUAGCCGCGGGAAUACGGAGGGAGCUAGCGUUGUUCGGAAUUACUGGGCGUAAAGCGCACGUAGGCGGUUAUUCAAGUCAGAGGUGAAAGCCCGGGGCUCAACCCCGGAACUGCCUUUGAAACUAGAUGACUAGAAUCUUGGAGAGGUCAGUGGAAUUCCGAGUGUAGAGGUGAAAUUCGUAGAUAUUCGGAAGAACACCAGUGGCGAAGGCGACUGACUGGACAAGUAUUGACGCUGAGGUGCGAAAGCGUGGGGAGCAAACAGGAUUAGAUACCCGAGUAGUCCCUGUCUCUUAUAA